UUAAGCGACUAAGCGUACACGGUGGAUGCCCUGGCAGUCAGAGGCGAUGAAGGACGUGCUAAUCUGCGAUAAGCGUCGGUAAGGUGAUAUGAACCGUUAUAACCGGCGAUUUCCGAAUGGGGAAACCCAGUGUGUUUCGACACACUAUCAUUAACUGAAUCCAUAGGUUAAUGAGGCGAACCGGGGGAACUGAAACAUCUAAGUACCCGAGGAAAAGAAAUCAACCGAGAUUCCCCCAGUAGCGGCGAGCGAACGGGGAGCAGCCCAGAGCCUGAAUCAGUGUGUGUGUUAGUGGAAGCGUCUGGAAAGGCGCGCGAUACAGGGUGACAGCCCCGUACACAAAAAUGCACAUACUGUGAGCUCGAUGAGUAGGGCGGGACACGUGGUAUCCUGUCUGAAUAUGGGGGACCAUCCUCCAAGGCUAAAUACUCCUGACUGACCGAUAGUGAACCAGUACCGUGAGGGAAAGGCGAAAAGAACCCCGGCGAGGGGAGUGAAAAAGAACCUGAAACCGUGUACGUACAAGCAGUGGGAGCACAGAGCAAUCUGUGUGACUGCGUACCUUUUGUAUAAUGGGUCAGCGACUUAUAUUCUGUAGCAAGGUUAACCGAAUAGGGGAGCCGAAGGGAAACCGAGUCUUAACUGGGCGUUAAGUUGCAGGGUAUAGACCCGAAACCCGGUGAUCUAGCCAUGGGCAGGUUGAAGGUUGGGUAACACUAACUGGAGGACCGAACCGACUAAUGUUGAAAAAUUAGCGGAUGACUUGUGGCUGGGGGUGAAAGGCCAAUCAAACCGGGAGAUAGCUGGUUCUCCCCGAAAGCUAUUUAGGUAGCGCCUCGUGAAUUCAUCUCCGGGGGUAGAGCACUGUUUCGGCAAGGGGGUCAUCCCGACUUACCAACCCGAUGCAAACUACGAAUACCGGAGAAUGUUAUCACGGGAGACACACGGCGGGUGCUAACGUCCGUCGUGAAGAGGGAAACAACCCAGACCGCCAGCUAAGGUCCCAAAGUCAUGGUUAAGUGGGAAACGAUGUGGGAAGGCCCAGACAGCCAGGAUGUUGGCUUAGAAGCAGCCAUCAUUUAAAGAAAGCGUAAUAGCUCACUGGUCGAGUCGGCCUGCGCGGAAGAUGUAACGGGGCUAAACCAUGCACCGAAGCUGCGGCAGCGACGCUGAUGCGUUGUUGGGUAGGGGAGCGUUCUGUAAGCCUGCGAAGGUGUGCUGUGAGGCAUGCUGGAGGUAUCAGAAGUGCGAAUGCUGACAUAAGUAACGAUAAAGCGGGUGAAAAGCCCGCUCGCCGGAAGACCAAGGGUUCCUGUCCAACGUUAAUCGGGGCAGGGUGAGUCGACCCCUAAGGCGAGGCCGAAAGGCGUAGUCGAUGGGAAACAGGUUAAUAUUCCUGUACUUGGUGUUACUGCGAAGGGGGGACGGAGAAGGCUAUGUUGGCCGGGCGACGGUUGUCCCGGUUUAAGCGUGUAGGCUGGUUUUCCAGGCAAAUCCGGAAAAUCAAGGCUGAGGCGUGAUGACGAGGCACUACGGUGCUGAAGCAACAAAUGCCCUGCUUCCAGGAAAAGCCUCUAAGCAUCAGGUAACAUCAAAUCGUACCCCAAACCGACACAGGUGGUCAGGUAGAGAAUACCAAGGCGCUUGAGAGAACUCGGGUGAAGGAACUAGGCAAAAUGGUGCCGUAACUUCGGGAGAAGGCACGCUGAUAUGUAGGUGAAGUCCCUCGCGGAUGGAGCUGAAAUCAGUCGAAGAUACCAGCUGGCUGCAACUGUUUAUUAAAAACACAGCACUGUGCAAACACGAAAGUGGACGUAUACGGUGUGACGCCUGCCCGGUGCCGGAAGGUUAAUUGAUGGGGUCAGCGCAAGCGAAGCUCUUGAUCGAAGCCCCGGUAAACGGCGGCCGUAACUAUAACGGUCCUAAGGUAGCGAAAUUCCUUGUCGGGUAAGUUCCGACCUGCACGAAUGGCGUAAUGAUGGCCAGGCUGUCUCCACCCGAGACUCAGUGAAAUUGAACUCGCUGUGAAGAUGCAGUGUACCCGCGGCAAGACGGAAAGACCCCGUGAACCUUUACUAUAGCUUGACACUGAACAUUGAGCCUUGAUGUGUAGGAUAGGUGGGAGGCUUUGAAGUGUGGACGCCAGUCUGCAUGGAGCCGACCUUGAAAUACCACCCUUUAAUGUUUGAUGUUCUAACGUUGACCCGUAAUCCGGGUUGCGGACAGUGUCUGGUGGGUAGUUUGACUGGGGCGGUCUCCUCCUAAAGAGUAACGGAGGAGCACGAAGGUUGGCUAAUCCUGGUCGGACAUCAGGAGGUUAGUGCAAUGGCAUAAGCCAGCUUGACUGCGAGCGUGACGGCGCGAGCAGGUGCGAAAGCAGGUCAUAGUGAUCCGGUGGUUCUGAAUGGAAGGGCCAUCGCUCAACGGAUAAAAGGUACUCCGGGGAUAACAGGCUGAUACCGCCCAAGAGUUCAUAUCGACGGCGGUGUUUGGCACCUCGAUGUCGGCUCAUCACAUCCUGGGGCUGAAGUAGGUCCCAAGGGUAUGGCUGUUCGCCAUUUAAAGUGGUACGCGAGCUGGGUUUAGAACGUCGUGAGACAGUUCGGUCCCUAUCUGCCGUGGGCGCUGGAGAACUGAGGGGGGCUGCUCCUAGUACGAGAGGACCGGAGUGGACGCAUCACUGGUGUUCGGGUUGUCAUGCCAAUGGCACUGCCCGGUAGCUAAAUGCGGAAGAGAUAAGUGCUGAAAGCAUCUAAGCACGAAACUUGCCCCGAGAUGAGUUCUCCCUGACUCCUUGAGAGUCCUGAAGGAACGUUGAAGACGACGACGUUGAUAGGCCGGGUGUGUAAGCGCAGCGAUGCGUUGAGCUAACCGGUACUAAUGAACCGUGAGGCUUAACCUU
RNAcentral lists this ribosomal RNA (2902 nucleotides) under Escherichia coli. RNAcentral's name for it is "23S ribosomal RNA". It matches the Rfam family "Bacterial large subunit ribosomal RNA". The record is from RNAcentral. Lineage: Bacteria; Pseudomonadati; Pseudomonadota; Gammaproteobacteria; Enterobacterales; Enterobacteriaceae.